RNAcentral lists this ribosomal RNA (386 nucleotides) under Lactarius sp. C703gn. RNAcentral's name for it is "LSU rRNA". It matches the Rfam family "Bacterial large subunit ribosomal RNA", at positions 1720 to 2094 of the family's 2925-position model. Lineage: Eukaryota; Fungi; Basidiomycota; Agaricomycetes; Russulales; Russulaceae. The record is from RNAcentral.
AAUUAUCCUCAUAAGUUUGACGAUAAGAGAAGCCAUAUAAUAUUUAAAUUAGACAUAAUUAAAUUAAUUAAAUGGUAUAAUAAAAAUGGAGGCCACGACUGUUUACUAAAAACACAAUUCAGAGCAAUAAUUAAGAUAAUAGUAUUCUGGAUGAAAUUUGCUCAAUGCCAUUAAUAUAAGUGAGGUAAUUUAAAAGUUACUAAUCGAAAAUCUGGUUAAUAGCGGUCUUAACUAUGAGGAUCCUAAGGUAGCAAAAUAAGUUGGCCAUUAAAUGUGGUCUUGUAUCAAUAAUGUAACGAUGGUCUCACUGUCUCUACAACUUGCUCAGUGAAAUUGAAUUGCGAGUGCAGAUGCUCGCUAUCUUCAGAGGGACGGGAAGACCCUAU